AGAUGCUUUGGUGCCUUCGGGAACUCUGAGACAGGUGCUGCAUGGCUGUCGUCAGCUCGUGUUGUGAAAUGUUGGGUUAAGUCCCGCAACGAGCGCAACCCUUAUCCUUUGUUGCCAGCGGUUAGGCCGGGAACUCAAAGGAGACUGCCAGUGAUAAACUGGAGGAAGGUGGGGAUGACGUCAAGUCAUCAUGGCCCUUACGAGUAGGGCUACACACGUGCUACAAUGGCGCAUACAAAGAGAAGCGAACUCGCGAGAGCAAGCGGACCUCAUAAAGUGCGUC
Molecule: ribosomal RNA, 283 nt
Filed under: Enterobacter sp.
Lineage: Bacteria; Pseudomonadati; Pseudomonadota; Gammaproteobacteria; Enterobacterales; Enterobacteriaceae
Description: partial 16S ribosomal RNA
Rfam family: Bacterial small subunit ribosomal RNA
Source: RNAcentral